Lepisosteus oculatus (spotted gar) is the source of this 359-nucleotide long non-coding RNA. RefSeq lists it as uncharacterized. The record is from RefSeq and is a predicted model, not a curated record. Lineage: Eukaryota; Metazoa; Chordata; Actinopteri; Semionotiformes; Lepisosteidae.
AGUGAUGAUGGGGAUUAUCAGGAGGCCAUCAUUAGUAAAGGCCAGGGGGAAAUUUGGCCCGAACACUUACUUGUAAUAUUGUUAUGUAAUAUUCAUAACCAAAGCCAGACGUUUCUCAUUUCAAAGCUGUUUGAUGCUGUGGUUUGCUUUGCCCCCAAAAUAUCCUCCCCACUCUGUGACCGAAGCAGCAAAACCAAUAAAGAUAAAAAAAAAUAACGAUAUUUUGAAACUACACACCGACCAGCGACUUCGUCUCAACCUCGGGAGCAGGCAACAUGUCCCCUGGGUUCGCGUGCAUCGGAAAACCGGCCAGCAUUUAAAUGGUCCCAAUACAAGACUCUGAACACUGGAAACCCUAG